AUUGAACGCUGGCGGCAUGCCUAACACAUGCAAGUCGAACGGUAACAUGAAGCAGCUUGCUGCUAUGCUAACGAGUGGCUGACGGGUGAGUAAUGGUUGGGCAACUGCCUGAUGGAGGGGGAUGACGACUGGAAACGGUAGCUAAUACCGCAUAACGUCGCAAGACCACAGUUGGGGACCUUUCGGCCUCAUGCCAUCGGAUCUGCCCAGAUGGGAUUAGCUAGUUGGUGGGGUAACGGCUCACUUAGGCGACGAUACCUAGCUGGUCUGCAAGGAUGACCAGCUACACUGGAACUGAGACACGCUCCAGACUCCUACGGACGGCAGCAGUGGGGAAUAUUGCACAAGGGGCGGAAGCCUGAUGCAGCCAGGCCGCGUGUAUGACGAGGGCCUUCGGGUUGUAAAGUACGUUCAACGGGGAGGAAGGGAGUAAAGCUAAUACCUUUGCUCAUUGACGUUACCCGAAGAAGAAGCACCGGCUAACUCCGUG
This 490-nucleotide ribosomal RNA is filed under the name uncultured bacterium. RNAcentral describes it as "partial 16S ribosomal RNA". It matches the Rfam family "Bacterial small subunit ribosomal RNA", at positions 30 to 507 of the family's 1533-position model. The record is from RNAcentral.